This 344-nucleotide ribosomal RNA is filed under the name Ephelota sp. RNAcentral's name for it is "partial small subunit ribosomal RNA". It matches the Rfam family "Eukaryotic small subunit ribosomal RNA", at positions 587 to 975 of the family's 1831-position model. The record is from RNAcentral. Lineage: Eukaryota; Ciliophora; Phyllopharyngea; Exogenida; Ephelotidae.
AGCUCCGAUAGCGUAUAUUAAUGUUGUUGCAGUUAAAAAGCUCGUAGUUGAAAGUCCGGCAAGAUUUAAUCUUGUCUGCCUGUAAGGAUUUACGACGAAGAAAUGACUCGUUCUUCUAAGCAGGCUUUUACCGUGAACAAAAUAGAGUGCUCAAAGCAGGCGUUUGCUUGAAUAAUACAGCAUGGAAUAAUAAAAUAGGACUUUAUCCAUUUUAUUGGUUAUUGGAUGAAGUAAUGAUUAACAGAAACAGUUGGGGGCAUCAGUACUUAAUAGUCAGAGGUGAAAUUCUUAGAUUUAUUAAAGACUAACUAAUGCGAAAGCAUUUGCCAAGGAUGUUUUCAUUA